Molecule: ribosomal RNA, 339 nt
Filed under: Triticum aestivum (bread wheat)
Lineage: Eukaryota; Viridiplantae; Streptophyta; Magnoliopsida; Poales; Poaceae
Description: partial small subunit ribosomal RNA
Source: RNAcentral
AUGCUGGCAGGGACGGUGGCAGCGGUGACGGUCUUCGUGCCGUCGCUGGAGGGGGAGCGUGGCCAAGGCGGUCGUGUGGAUGUGAUGGACCUCGACCGGGAGGUCGUGGUCAUCGGGGACGACACCCCGCCGCGGACCGACGUGGUCGAGCGGACGGGGGCCGACGGAGGCGGCGGUGACGCCGUCUUCGAGGAGACGUCGCGGACGACGCCGGAUGGGGCGCCUCAGGCGUUGAUGAGCGAGGCACCGCUGGUGGUGGAGCCGCAGGCCACUCCGGCCACUGAACCGGUGAUGGUGCCAAAGAAGGUGCCGGCCGCCAGGGAGGCGGCCAGCGGAUAG